GGAGUUCCCGUUGCAGUUCAGUGGGUUAAGAACCCAACUAGUAUCCAUGAGGAUGUGGGCUCUAUCCCUGGCCUCACUCAGUGGAUUAAGGAUCUGGCGUUGCUACAAGGUGCUCUAUAGGUCAAAGAUGUGGCUCAGAUCUCGUGUUGCUGUGGCAUAGGCCUGCAGCUGCAGCUCCAAUUGGACCCCUAAUCCGAUAACUUCUGUAAGAAACAGGUGUGGCUGUGAAAAGAAAAAAGUAAAUAAACUAAAAAAAUAAAAGCCAUGAGAAUCUGAUUCCUCCAUCACCUUUUUCAGGAAUGACUAUUUAUUCAUUUUUUUUCUUCAUUAACAGGCAGACAAAAACAUCAUUAGACAAUGCAUGGACUAGGGACCUAUCGUCAGCAUCAGGUUUAGAUCCAUUUUCUAAUUGUAUCUAUCUUUCGUUGGCAUAUUGUCAGUUUUCUCUUAGUGUUCUAUCAGUCCACCACAUACUAUGUUUGGUUCACCAAAGGGACCAGGCCUUAUUUUUUCCACACUUCAAGGGCACGGUCAUGACCACUUAGGGUUUUACACAACUGUUCCAAUAUCUUAAAAUUGUGUUAAGAGCUGUUACACAAGUGGUGUUCUAGUCAUUCAGCCAGAGUCUUGAAAGCACUCAUUAGACACAGACUCUAAACAUAGCAGGAAAAUAAACUUAAUUUAUAGAUUUCAUAAGAUAAUUGGAGAGCUAAACUUAGCAAUGCAGAUAGUGAUGUUUCUAACAAUACCCAUUUUUAACAGGACAAACACAAGCAUGGUCCUCCCCACACCCUCACCAUCCAGAUUCUAAUGUCACUUUCCCUUGAUCUUGAAUCAUGUGUUGAAGAUUCAAAAUCCUUGGUGGAUUAACCAAACCUAGAUAAUAUGCUUUCACCCUGCUGCCAAAAGACAUGCAUAGAAUAUGUUUCUCGUGACUGCUUUCUGAAGAAAAUCUUUUUCCCUUUCCAAGAAUCACACGAGUAUGAAUUUUUCAAAACUAGGUAGUGUGAUUCAGACGGGGGCAUUUUGACCUAAAAGUAUCUCUUAUUAAAGCCCUGGGGCAUAUUCUGUCAUCAGCUUUCAUAAAUCUUAUAUUCCAAACAGAGAUGGGAACCAUGGAUAAAUAAACCUGGACCUAAUGUGUAAACCUAGACCUAAUGUGUAGUCCCACCUUACUACAUAGUUUACAAAAAAUAAGUCAGACAAUUACAUAUGGCUUGUAAAAUCAUGAAAGAGAAUGGAGUUUCACAUCAGUUAUUUUUAUUCAUUAGACCCAUAAAUGAACCAUAAUUCUUCAUGUGAUUUCCUUUGCUCUUGUCUGAUCUACAAGAAAGAAAAUGCUUUUGUACAAAAGGAAUAUUUUUCAUUUUUCAGUUCUUGUGUUUAGCAACAAUAAAUUCAGAAAAAUCUGGAUAAGAUUUGCCAACAAUCAUUUUCCGGCUAUUUUUCAACUGCAAAUAAUCUCAACUUCCUAAACUGGAUACAUUGCAAAUUAUGGUAAGUUUUUUUUUUUCCCUAGCUCACCACACUUAGUAAUUUAUUGUGAGACUGAGAUUGCAGUGUCCACCCACCCUUAUGUAUUAGAAGAAUAUACCAUGGAAAAUCAUUACACAUGUACUUAAAUCUGCUGUUGAUAUAUUUUAACUCCCAGACAAAAAUAUGAUUUGUUAUUAGGAACUGUCUAGCUAGCUAUAUGCAAGAGAAAUUUAUUGUCACUACAAAUUCAAACCAGGUUUCAAUGUUAUUUUUUGGGUAUUUGUAUUCUGACAUCAGUGAAUAAUAAUGAUUCUCUCCCCGUCGGUGAAGACAAACUUCAGGGUCUUUACUAUUGAAAAUGUUGAAUAUUGUUUAAGAUACUUGUCAGUUUUAAGAGCUCAAGUUAUUUACUAAACUGAUUGGAAACACUAGCAAAGGCAGACACUUUAUGGAUUGAGAAUGCAAAAUGAGGUUCUAAAUUCAGUUCUAAUUUACCUAAAAUAAGGAUAAUUUUACUAUUUAAAUUAUUGAGCUGCUGUGAAGAGGGAAGAAAUUGAGGUCUGUGAAGCAUCUAGCAAUGGUCCUGAUUGAUAGCAAGUACUUGGUAUCAUAAUUUAAUCUGCUGUCAUGAAAUCUUCAGUUUUUCAUUGAAAAGUGGACCUUGGUAUCUAUUACAAUAAACACAGUGAAGCAUAUAUCUCAGAGUACACCUAGCCUGGGUGAGCUUAGUGCUACAGUAUCAAUGUUACCUGUUUACCCUUAACCUUAAUCUGCACAGAGACAACCUCAUGGUGACCUAUAGCUGAAGAAACAUAAGUAUAUUUGGACAAAGACAGAAAAAAAUGCAGGUUAUGGAUCCUAGAAAAUUACUGCCUAUAUAAAAACAUCAAGAUGUGUUCUAUAUAAUAUAUUACAUGUUUAUAUGAUGGAGGUAUGGCCAUUUUAAGAAAAAUAUUUGUGUUGAAAUGUUUGGUUUAGGACCCUCCAACCAUGUCAGUUUUCUCCAAUGUAUUUUUUUUUUAUCCCAAGUAAAUGUAUAUACAGUGAAAGGCACAGAUCUCAAGUGUGCAAUCUUAUCUGGAACAUGUAAUUCAAGAUUUAGAAAUUCAUUUCAUCACCCCAGAAAUUUACCUCUUGCUCCUUCCCAAUAAAUUCCUCCCACUAGGAGAAAACUACUUCUUCUACCUCCUUUCUACUGUCAUACAUUGAUGAUUUCUCUAGAGACUCAUAAAAGUAAAAUUAUUCGCUAUGUAUUUUUUGUGCAUGGCUUAUUUUAUUCUACAUAAUGUUUUGGAGAUCAUUCCAUGUUCUUGGAUAUUAUCAGCAGUUUAUUAUUUUAUUCUUAAUCACUAUUAUUUCAUUAUAUGUAUAUAUACAAAUAAUUCUUUGGUUGGGACAUUGAUUAUUUCUAGUUUGAGGGUAUUAUAAAUAUAGAUGAAAGAAACAUCCUUGUACAAGUCUUUUCAUAGCUGUAAAUUAUUAUUUCUCUUGGAUUGAUAGCUAGGAAUGGAAAUCCUGUGUCAUAGGGUAGUUGCAUGUUUAACUCUGAGAAACUGCCAUACAUACAUAUUUCCAAAUUGUGCCGCUUUAUACCUCUGCUAACAACAUUUGGUCUUCUAAUCUGGCCAUUUGUGUGCAUUUAGGGUUUAUCUUGCUGUGAUUUCAAUUUGUACUUCCCUAUUGACUACUGGUGUUGAGAAGUUUUCUCUAUACUUAUUAGUCAUUGCUAUGCUCUUUUUAUUGCAAAAGAAAACUAUUAAAGUCUUUUGCAAAAUUCUAUUGACUUUCAGUAUUAUAUCUGAUUGCAUGAGUUACAUUUGAAAUAUAAAUUCUUUGUUAGAUACAUGCAUUGGAAACAUUUUCACUCAUUUGUGACUUAUAUUUUCUUUUCUUUUCUUUUUUUUUUUGUCUUUUUGAGGGCUGCACCCACGGCAUAUGGGGGUUCCCAGGCUAGGGGUCUAAUCAGAGCUGUAGCCACCGGCCUAAGCAACAGCCACAGCAAUGCCAGAUCUGAGCCGCAUCUGCGACCUACACCACAGCUCGUGGCAACGCCGGAUCCCUAACCCACUGAGUGAGGCCAGGGAUCGCACCCACAACCUCAUUGUUCCUAGUCGGAUUUGUUUCCGCUGCACGACAAGAACUCCUUAUCUUCUCAUUUACUUAUGAGUAUCUUUAAUAAGUAGACAUUUAACUUUGAUGGAUAUCAAAAUUUUCUAGUUUUUCUUUCACAGAAAGUGCUUUUGAAGAAAUCUCUGUGCAAACCAUUGAUGCACACAUUUUUCUUGUGUAUUUUCCUUCAGAACGUUACAACUUUAUCUUUUAUAUUCAUAUCUAUGACCCAUCUCACAAUAAUUCUGCUGUAUUAUAUAGUAAAGGAUGGGAGUUGAAGGUCAUGUUUUUCUGUAUUUUUAUUCAACUUUCUCAUUUUACUUGAUGAAGAGAUUCUUUUCUUCUUCAUUGGGAAGAAAGAUCAUUUUAUUUUGUGGACCAAAUUCUAAUUUAAUGACUUGUCUAUUCUAAUUCAAUCCCAUAUACUGUUGAUUGCUGUGAUUUUGAAUAACCAUGAGAUCAGGUAAUGUCUGUACUCCAAUUUUGUUUUUCAUUUUCAAGAGUACAUUUUCUAUCAUAGACCCCAUGUAUUUCCAUAAGUAAAUGAACUUUAGGAUCUACUUUUCAACUUCUGUGAAACAAAAAUGACUUACAAGUUUUAUUGGUAUUCAUUAAAAUUACAGAAAAAUAUGGGAAGAACUCAUAUUUUGCCAAAAUUGUACCUUACAACAUAUGAUUAUGGUAUAGCUUCCUGUUUAUUAAAUGUUUCCUUUAUAUUCUUUCUGCAAUCUCUUAUAAUUUUCAGCAAAUAGCAAAACUUUUACUACAAUUUAAUUAGUUUUAUUUCUAAUUUAAUGUUUUUAUGCAACUAUGAAUGGCAUUUAAAUAUAAUUUUUUACUGUUUAUGCUGUCAAUGGAGUAAAAAGAAAUUUAUUUCCAAAUAAGGACCCUGGAUACUAUAAUGCCACUAAAUGUAUGCAUUAGUUUUAAUAGAUUUUAAAUAUUUAGUUAAAAAUUUAAAUAGUUAAAUAUUAAGCAACUAUGUGCCCUAUAAAUAAAUAUGUUUUAUUCUUCAUUUACAGCUUUAUGACUUGCAUUGAUUGAUUGAAUGAUUGAUUGCCUUUUGUGCACCAGGACUUUGAGAACGAAGUUGAAUAAAAUGAAGAGUGGACGUCUUGGUUUGGCCUCAAUCUUAGGAGAAAUAAAUUAAUGAUGUCACCACUACAUAUAUGGUAUGAAAAUAUAUGAUGGUAGUUAAAAAAAGAUUUAUCAUAUUUUUUUUUACCACAUUAAGUUCCCUUCAAUUCCUAGUUUGCUCAAAGUUUUCUCCAUUAAGAAUAGAGUUUAUCUACCAUGAGGUACCACCUCCCACUGGUCAGAAUGGCCAUCAUUAAUAAGUAUACAACUAACAAAUGCUAGAGAGGGUGUGGAGAAAAGGGAAUCCUCCUUCACUGUUGGUGGGAAUGUAAAUUGUUACAACCAUUGUGGAAAGCAGUACAGACUUUCCUCAGAAAAUGAAAUAUAGAACUACCUCAUGAUUCAGCAAUCGCACUCCUGGGCAUAUACCCAGACAUACUAUAAUUCAAAAAGAUACAAGCAUCCUAUGUUCAAAGCAGCAUUAUUCACAAUAACCAAGACAUGGAACAACCUAAAUGUCCAUCCACAGAAAAAUGAAUUAUGAAGAUGAGGUAUAGAGAGUUCCUGUUGUGGUUCAGUGGAUUAAGAACCCAACUAGUAUCCAUGAGGAUGUGGGUUUGAUCCCUGGCCUCGCUCGGUAAGUUAAGGAUCUGGCUUUGCUGUAAGCUUCAGCAUAGGUCCCAUAUGCAACUCGGGUCUGAUGUUGCUGUGGCUGUGGCAUAGGCUGGCAGCUGCAGGUCUGAUGCGACCCCUAGCCUGGGAACUUCCAUACACCACAGGUACAACC
RNAcentral lists this long non-coding RNA (5449 nucleotides) under Sus scrofa (pig). RNAcentral describes it as "lncRNA (ENSSSCG00000057841.1, ENSSSCG00110007319.1)". Lineage: Eukaryota; Metazoa; Chordata; Mammalia; Artiodactyla; Suidae. The record is from RNAcentral.